Molecule: long non-coding RNA, 642 nt
Organism: Lontra canadensis (Northern American river otter)
Lineage: Eukaryota; Metazoa; Chordata; Mammalia; Carnivora; Mustelidae
Exons: 5
Source: RefSeq, a predicted model, not a curated record
CUUUUCAAAGCAGGCAGGAUGACAGGAACACGGAACCUGAACCCAGUGCUUUCUAAGAGUGACGGAACAAUCAGCUGUCUUUUAAGAAGCCUCCAACUGCCCUUCAAGAAAGGCGCCUUUGAUGAAGAGGAUUCUUACUAGGUCCAGCGGAAGGCAUGAAAGGUCCAAUUGUACCAGCAGUUGUCAAACUUAAAUGUGCAUCAGAAUCCCUUUACAGAUUUCUUGGUUUAGCAAACCAUCAGCUUUCAAGGGAUGCUUCUCUGAGAACACUGUGUGCCCACGACCAUCGCUCAAGUCAUUUUCUGGAUCAAAAGUAAUGAGGCAGUGACAGGCUUUAAUUGGCUUUUGCUUCUCAACGACUACAAUGUCACCCACCAAAGAGGAAUUACUUCUCUACUUAAACAUCAAAGCUAGAAAUAAGAGAAAAAACAUUCCAGUUGACCUGGCAACACUCAGAACUGGGCUCUGAGCUCCCACGCUGCGGCGUGAACAGACCAUGUGUGCAUGUGCGUGGAAGCCCGGGGAAUUGUCUACGGUGUCCCAGGACCAGCUGGUGUGGCACAGGGCCGCCUUAGCAGAGGGACACACCCACGUCCACAGCCUCACUCCCGGUGGCCAAGGAGGGGGAAGCAGCCCGAAUCC